GAUGAACGCUGGCGGCGUGCCUAAUACAUGCAAGUCGAGCGAACAGAUGAGGAGCUUGCUCCUCUGACGUAAGCGGCGGACGGGUGAGUAACACGUGGAUAACCUACCUAUAAGACUGGGAUAACUUCGGGAAACCGGAGCUAAUACCGGAUAAUAUAUUCAACCGCAUGGUUCAAUAGUGAAAGACGGUUUUGCUGUCACUUAUAGAUGGAUCCGCGCCGCAUUAGCUAGUUGGUAAGGUAACGGCUUACCAAGGCAACGAUGCGUAGCCGACCUGAGAGGGUGAUCGGCCACACUGGAACUGAGACACGGUCCAGACUCCUACGGGAGGCAGCAGUAGGGAAUCUUCCGCAAUGGGCGAAAGCCUGACGGAGCAACGCCGCGUGAGUGAUGAAGGUCUUCGGAUCGUAAAACUCUGUUAUUAGGGAAGAACAAAUGUGUAAGUAACUAUGCACGUCUUGACGGUACCUACUCAGAAAGCCACGGCUAACUCCGUG
Molecule: ribosomal RNA, 497 nt
Filed under: uncultured bacterium
Lineage: Bacteria
Description: partial 16S ribosomal RNA
Rfam family: Bacterial small subunit ribosomal RNA
Source: RNAcentral